This 499-nucleotide ribosomal RNA is filed under the name uncultured Glomeromycotina. RNAcentral's name for it is "partial small subunit ribosomal RNA". It matches the Rfam family "Eukaryotic small subunit ribosomal RNA", at positions 591 to 1092 of the family's 1831-position model. The record is from RNAcentral. Lineage: Eukaryota; Fungi; Glomeromycota.
CCAAUAGCGUAUAUUAAAGUUGUUGCAGUUAAAAAGCUCGUAGUUGAAUUUCGGGAUCAAUAUGUCGGUCGUGCCUCGGUACGUACUGGCGUAAUUGGUUUCUCCCUUCUGAAGAACCUCGAUGUCAUUAAUUUGGUGUCGUGGGGAAUCAGGACUGUUACUUUGAAAAAAUUAGAGUGUUUAAAGCAGGCUCGCGCUUGAAUACAUUAGCAUGGAAUAAUGAAAUAGGACGUUUGAUUCUAUUUUGUUGGUUUCUAGGAUCGACGUAAUGAUUAAUAGGGAUAGUUGGGGGCAUUAGUAUUCAAUUGUCAGAGGUGAAAUUCUUGGAUUUAUUGAAGACUAACUACUGCGAAAGCAUUUGCCAAGGAUGUUUUCAUUAAUCAAGAACGAAAGUUAGGGGAUCGAAGACGAUCAGAUACCGUCGUAGUCUUAACCAUAAACUAUGCCGACUAGGGAUCGGAUGAUGUUAAUUUUUUAAUGACUCAUUCGGCGCCUUACG